UGAGGCCCGCCUAGCUCUGUGAAACUCGCCACAGCUGUGAUUUCUGAAAAUUCAAAGACAGAUCCUCAUCCUGUGACUGGCUGAAUUACAAUGCAAGUUGAACUGACAGCCUUGAAGAAUGUCUACUGUUAAAGUGAGGACAUUAAUUGGGAAGGAAUGGAAUCCUGAGGUUGGAAUAUGGAUGUGUGGGAGGACCCUGACGAAGCUGGUAACACUGAGCUCCUAAAUUCUGAUAUGACUUCUUUGCCAGUGGAAGAGACUUAUUCACCUACAAUAGAAGCAAUUCCUCCAUCCCCAUCAGAGGGGAUUAACUCUGCAAUGUCUGAGAAAAAACUCUAAUGGCAAGGGAGUGGCCAUGCAGGACAAUGUUGGGUCUCUUCAGGACACAUCCACAUCACUCCUCUUUUCUUCUAGGCCUGUGACUAGGCUUAAGUACUAGCAAGCUCCCAAAAGUAAGCUACAAAGUACAAACCAUGAGGAGGCGUGCCACAGCCCAAAAGAGCUAUUUGAGUUUUCUACUUUAUACAGACGGAAAUCUGGGGAACAUGUGUGUGAUUAG
RNAcentral lists this long non-coding RNA (559 nucleotides) under Homo sapiens (human). RNAcentral's name for it is "HSALNT0208830". Lineage: Eukaryota; Metazoa; Chordata; Mammalia; Primates; Hominidae. The record is from RNAcentral.